Molecule: long non-coding RNA, 212 nt
Organism: Schistocerca piceifrons (Central American locust)
Lineage: Eukaryota; Metazoa; Arthropoda; Insecta; Orthoptera; Acrididae
Exons: 3
Source: RefSeq, a predicted model, not a curated record
GCUUCGCGGCGGGCGGACUGACGCGGGAGGCUCCAGUAUGACGCUUGCAUCUGUGCAAUGAGGAUGUCGCGCCGGCCGCUACCGUGAGUACACAUGCUGCUGACGGGGCCCACAGAGGACGCAAUGGAGGUCCUGCGACAGAGCGGACAGCACGCGGGCAAGAUGAGCGCCGGGAGCGGGUCUGGCGUGGCGGCGGCUGCGGCGGCGGCAGC